AUCUGACGAGUCCGACAUAGAACAAAACGCGCGUCCAGGAU
RNAcentral lists this non-coding RNA (41 nucleotides) under Schistosoma margrebowiei. The record is from RNAcentral. Lineage: Eukaryota; Metazoa; Platyhelminthes; Trematoda; Strigeidida; Schistosomatidae.